This 806-nucleotide ribosomal RNA is filed under the name uncultured bacterium. Its description in RNAcentral is "bacterial SSU rRNA". It matches the Rfam family "Bacterial small subunit ribosomal RNA", at positions 56 to 853 of the family's 1533-position model. The record is from RNAcentral.
UGCAGUCGAACGGCAGCACGGGAGCUUGCUCCUGGUGGCGAGUGGCGAACGGGUUGAGUAAUAUAUCGGAACGUAUCCAAUAAUGGGGGAUAACUAAUCGAAAGGUUGGCUAAUACCGCAUACGCCCUGAGGGGGAAAGCUGGGGAUCUUCGGACCUAGCGUUAAUGGAGCGGCCGAUAUCUGAUUAGCUAGUUGGUGGGGUAAAGGCCCACCAAGGCGACGAUCAGUAGCUGGUCUGAGAGGACGACCAGCCACACUGGAACUGAGACACGGUCCAGACUCCUACGGGAGGCAGCAGUGGGGAAUUUUGGACAAUGGGCGCAAGCCUGAUCCAGCCAUUCCGCGUGAGUGAAGAAGGCCUUCGGGUCGUAAAGCUCUUUCGCAAGGGAAGAAACGAUUUAGGUGAAUAAUCUAAGUUAAUGACGGUACCUUGAUAAGAAGCACCGGCUAACUACGUGCCAGCAGCCGCGGUAAUACGUAGGGUGCGAGCGUUAAUCGGAAUUACUGGGCGUAAAGCGUGCGCAGGCUGUUUUGUAAGUCAGAUGUGGAAUCCCCGAGCUCAACUUGGGAACUGCGUUUGAAACUACAAGACUAGAAUAGGUCAGAGGGGGGUAGAAUUCCACGUGUAGCAGUGAAAUGCGUAGAGAUGUGGAGGAAUAUCAAUGGCGAAGGCAGCCCCCUGGGAUCAUAUUGACGCUCAUGCACGAAAGCGUGGGGAGCAAACAGGAUUAGAUACCCUGGUAGUCCACGCCCUAAACGAUGUCAACUAGUUGUUUGGUAGAGUAAAAUCUAUGAGUAACGCAGCU